UACGUAGGAGACAAACGUUAUCCGGAGUUACUGGGCGUAAAGGGCGUGUAGGUGGUUUCGUAAGUCUGGCGUGAAAUUUUUCGGCUUAACCGGGAAAGGUCGUCGGAUACUGCGGAACUAGAGGACGGUAGAGGCGUGUGGAAUUCCGGGUGUAGUGGUGAAAUGCGUAGAGAUCCGGAGGAACACCAGUGGCGAAGGCGACACGCUGGGCCGUACCUGACACUGAUGCGCGACAGCAUGGGGAGCAAACAGG
This 253-nucleotide ribosomal RNA is filed under the name uncultured bacterium. Its description in RNAcentral is "partial 16S ribosomal RNA". It matches the Rfam family "Bacterial small subunit ribosomal RNA", at positions 524 to 776 of the family's 1533-position model. The record is from RNAcentral.